AAUAAAGAGCUGACACACCAUCUGCACUGGAGUAUUCGUCUUUACUAUAAUGAAAUAUGGGAGAUGGGCUCACUUUAUAGAGAAAAAAAAGGCAUUGUUCAUAGUGAGGAGACUGGAGGGCACGACAAUGAUCCCAGCACUGUAAAUCCAACCACACAGGCACAGAAACUGAGGUAUCCAGGCUGCGGGACUUAAUUGUGUAACUGACUGUCUUCUUACCCUGCUACCCGAGCUGGAAUCUGUUUCCUACAGGCAAGACCCCUGCAUGCUAUAUAAGCACAGCUCCCCAGAACCGGGACUUCUGCUAGCCCCAAGCUCAACAGCGGCUGCUGUCCACCACAGAGGCAUGUCCAGGUUUAAAACAUUUUUAAUGUAGAAUUCCAACUAGAAAAAAAAUAUUCUGGACUGGAGAGAUGGCUCGGUGGUUAAGAGCACAGUCUUCCAGAGAUCCUGAGUUCAAAUCCCAGCAACCACAUGGUGGCUCACAACCAUCUGUAAUGAGAUCUGAUGCCUUCUGAUGUGUCUGAAGACAGUUACAGUGUACUUACAUGUAAUAAAUAAAUAAAUCUUUAAAAAAAUAAUAAAAA
Long non-coding RNA from Rattus norvegicus (Norway rat), 587 nucleotides. RefSeq lists it as uncharacterized. The record is from RefSeq and is a predicted model, not a curated record. Lineage: Eukaryota; Metazoa; Chordata; Mammalia; Rodentia; Muridae.